UCGUGAUUUAGGGCGAUUUAGAGUUGGAUUUUGAAUAUGCUGAAGUGGAAGAAAAGAUAGACGAAGGCAUUAUUUCAUCACUUUUUGGAGUCAUUUAGAGCUUCAGGAGUACGAUUUGCCUAGCGAAGUGAACUACGAAGUUGAAGAUCAAGGUAAAAUAAUUCAUCUUAGUAGCAAACAAGGAGGAGAUGACGUGAUUGAAGAAAUUGUGUAUCCAUCUUCGCUGUCCCUUGUGAGGUGAUGACCACAUACAUGCAAGUGCUAUUUUCAUACUUUUGAUAGCAGAAAGAAAAAUCCGUGUGUAAUAUUGAUGUUCAUGUGAUAAUAGGUCGACUCCGUUCAUAUAUUACUGGUGACGGAUAUUUAUUCGAACUAUUUGGACGCUUAAUUGCAUUCGCAAGCACAUCCAUAUUGGAGCUAAGGUUAUGGCUGAAGUGCCGCGGCUUUUGGAGGGGCCCCAUGACGCCGGCCACCGUUGCCACCUAUUUUUGAACCCAAAUAAAGAACAUGAUUAUCGGAGUUUCAGACUUCGAACCGUAAAGAAAACCAGGCCAAUACACAAUUAUUUCAUUCCUCACCUUGACGCUUAUGGACUACAUGCUUUUGCUAGGCUCACAUCAAGCGAAGACCCAUCCCAGUUACGUUCGGACCCAUCCCUUUUGACAUCCCUCGUUGACCGGUGGAGACCUGAAACCCACACCUUUCACUUUCGUUUUGGGGAGCUUGCACCUACACUGAAAGAUGUUUCUAUGAUCCUUGCUCUACCAAUUAGAGGUGAGCCGUUAGUCUCUCGACGAGUGUCUAAAACUUGGGCACAAAAUAUAUC
Non-coding RNA from Aegilops tauschii subsp. strangulata, 826 nucleotides. Lineage: Eukaryota; Viridiplantae; Streptophyta; Magnoliopsida; Poales; Poaceae. The record is from RefSeq and is a predicted model, not a curated record.